Molecule: transfer RNA, 71 nt
Filed under: Rhodoferax sp.
Lineage: Bacteria; Pseudomonadati; Pseudomonadota; Betaproteobacteria; Burkholderiales; Comamonadaceae
Description: tRNA-Lys
Rfam family: tRNA
About the family: Transfer RNA (tRNA) molecules are approximately 80 nucleotides in length. Their secondary structure includes four short double-helical elements and three loops (D, anti-codon, and T loops).
Source: RNAcentral
GGGCGUUUAGCUCAUUUGGUACCUGGCUUUUAACCGGAUGGUGCCGAGUUCGAACCUCGGAACGCCCACCA